CUGACAUGAAAUUUGGUAGCUGCCCUUAACUGCUGGAGAAAGUCUACAGUCUCUUUAAGACAAGGCAAGGGGGUGGGAGCUGGGUGAGAGAGCGGGGAUCUGCAAGACGCAGGGAUCAAACAGUCCACCUCCGAUCCACUUUUCUAGAGCAGCUCUUUCCGCCGGGAAGGAACGUGGCAUCGGUUAGUCCCUGAGAGAUUCGCUUCUCAUAAAGUAACUUGUGAAAUUGGACGCCGUGUGCAGGAACAGUGGCUCUUCAAUGAAGAUAUCACUGCGACGAGAGGAAUAAUGGGCUACAGAAGAAAGACCCUGGCAUCUUAGGGAGAAGCAGAGGAGGUGAGAGAAGAGGCAGCCCGGGGCAGGGUGCCCAGAGG
RNAcentral lists this long non-coding RNA (374 nucleotides) under Dasypus novemcinctus (nine-banded armadillo). RNAcentral's name for it is "lncRNA (ENSDNOG00000050455.1)". Lineage: Eukaryota; Metazoa; Chordata; Mammalia; Cingulata; Dasypodidae. The record is from RNAcentral.